GAUGAACGCUGGCGGCGUGCCUAAUACAUGCAAGUCGAGCGAACGGACGAGAAGCUUGCUUCUCUGAUGUUAGCGGCGGACGGGUGAGUAACACGUGGAUAACCUACCUAUAAGACUGGGAUAACUUCGGGAAACCGGAGCUAAUACCGGAUGAUAUUUUGAACCGCAUGGUUCAAAAGUGAAAGACGGUCUUGCUGUCACUUAUAGAUGGAUCCGCGCUGCAUUAGCUAGUUGGUAAGGUAACGGCUUACCAAGGCAACGAUGCAUAGCCGACCUGAGAGGGGAAUCGGCCCAACUGGAACUGAAACACGGUCCAGACUCCAACGGGAGGCAGCAGUGGGGAAUCUUCCGCAAUGGGCGAAAGCCUGACGGAGCAACGCCGCGGGGGUGAUGAAGGUCUUCGGAUCGUAAAACUCUGUUAUUGGGGAAAAAAAUAUUUGUAAGUAAUUGUGAACAUCUUGACGGUACCUAAUCAGAAAGCCACGGCUAACUACGG
RNAcentral lists this ribosomal RNA (496 nucleotides) under uncultured bacterium. Its description in RNAcentral is "partial 16S ribosomal RNA". It matches the Rfam family "Bacterial small subunit ribosomal RNA", at positions 28 to 506 of the family's 1533-position model. The record is from RNAcentral.